RNAcentral lists this ribosomal RNA (468 nucleotides) under uncultured bacterium. RNAcentral's name for it is "partial 16S ribosomal RNA". It matches the Rfam family "Bacterial small subunit ribosomal RNA", at positions 28 to 507 of the family's 1533-position model. The record is from RNAcentral.
GAUGAACGCUGGCGGCGUGCUUAACACAUGCAAGUCGAACGGAAAGGCCCUGCUUUUGUGCGGUGCUCGAGUGGCGAACGGGUGAGUCACACGUGAGUAACUUGCCCUUGUCUUUCGGAUAACUUUAGGAAACUGGGGCUAAUUCCGAAUACACGCUACCGCUGCAUGGUGGGGGUUGGAAAGUUUAGGCGGUUGUGUAGGGUCUCCCGGCUUAUGAACUUGUUGGUGGGGGAGUGGCUUACCAAGGCAUUGACGGGUAGUCGGCCUUAGAGGGUGACCGGCCACAUGAGGACUGAGGUACGGCCCAGAGGAGUACGGGAGGCAGCAGUGGGGAGUAUUGCCCAAUGGGCGGAAGCCGGUUGCAGCAACGCCGCGUGCGGGAUGACGGCCUGCUGGUUGAAAACCGCUUUCGGCUGUAACGAAGCGUGAGUGACGGUAAUUGAUGAAGAAGCACCGGCUAACUACGUG